This 429-nucleotide ribosomal RNA is filed under the name uncultured bacterium. Its description in RNAcentral is "bacterial SSU rRNA". It matches the Rfam family "Bacterial small subunit ribosomal RNA", at positions 355 to 776 of the family's 1533-position model. The record is from RNAcentral.
UGGGGAAUAUUGGACAAUGGGGGAAACCCUGAUCCAGCAAUGCCGCGUGUGUGAAGAAGGCCUGCGGGUUGUAAAGCACUUUCAGUGGGGAGGAGGAUACAUAGGUUAAGAGCUGAUGUAUUGGACGUUACUCACAGAAGAAGCACCGGCUAACUCCGUGCCAGCAGCCGCGGUAAUACGGAGGGUGCAAGCGUUAAUCGGAAUGACUGGGCGUAAAGGGUGCGUAGGUGGUUAGAUAAGUUAUCUGUGAAAUCCCUGGGCUUAACCUGGGCAGGUCAGAUAAAACUGUUUAACUCGAGUAUGGGAGAGGGUAGUGGAAUUUCCGGUGUAGCGGUGAAAUGCGUAGAGAUCGGAAGGAACACCGGUGGCGAAGGCGGCUACCUGGCCUAAUACUGACACUGAAGCACGAAAGCGUGGGGAGCAAACAGG